This 253-nucleotide unclassified non-coding RNA is filed under the name uncultured Chitinophagaceae bacterium. Its description in RNAcentral is "contains 16S-23S intergenic spacer region". It matches the Rfam family "Bacterial small subunit ribosomal RNA", at positions 524 to 776 of the family's 1533-position model. Lineage: Bacteria; Pseudomonadati; Bacteroidota; Chitinophagia; Chitinophagales; Chitinophagaceae. The record is from RNAcentral.
UACGGAGGGAGCUAGCGUUAUCCGGAUUCACUGGGUUUAAAGGGUGCGUAGGCGGGUAGGUAAGUCAGUGGUGAAAUCCUGGAGCUUAACUCCAGAACUGCCAUUGAUACUAUCUAUCUUGAAUAUUGUGGAGGUAAGCGGAAUAUGUCAUGUAGCGGUGAAAUGCUUAGAUAUGACGUAGAACACCUAUUGCGAAGGCAGCUUACUACGCAUAUAUUGACGCUGAGGCACGAAAGCGUGGGUAGCAAACAGG